GUGAUCCCUCUGGCAGCACAUAUACUAAAACUGGAAAAAUACAGAGAUUAGCAUGGCCCCUGUGCAAGGAUGACAUGCAAAUUUGUGAAGUGCUCCGUAUUUUU
Small nuclear RNA from Diceros bicornis minor, 104 nucleotides. The record is from RefSeq and is a predicted model, not a curated record. NCBI's taxonomy places the organism in Eukaryota, Metazoa, Chordata, Mammalia, Perissodactyla, Rhinocerotidae.